This 253-nucleotide ribosomal RNA is filed under the name uncultured bacterium. Its description in RNAcentral is "partial 16S ribosomal RNA". It matches the Rfam family "Bacterial small subunit ribosomal RNA", at positions 524 to 776 of the family's 1533-position model. The record is from RNAcentral.
GACAGAGGGUGCAAGCGUUGUUCGGAAUUAUUGGGCGUAAAGGGCGCGUAGGUGGCCGCGUAAGUCGGAUGUGAAAGCCCAGGGCUUAACCCUGGAAGUGCAUCUGAUACUGCAUGGCUUGAGUCUCGGAGAGGGUCGCGGAAUUCCCAGUGUAGAGGUGAAAUUCGUAGAUAUUGGGAGGAACACCAGUGGCGAAGGCGGCGACCUGGACGAAGACUGACACUGAGGCGCGAAAGCGUGGGGAGCAAACAGG